This 740-nucleotide long non-coding RNA is filed under the name Ictidomys tridecemlineatus (thirteen-lined ground squirrel). Its description in RNAcentral is "lncRNA (ENSSTOG00000031550.1)". The record is from RNAcentral. Lineage: Eukaryota; Metazoa; Chordata; Mammalia; Rodentia; Sciuridae.
GCCAGCUUCACCCGAAGCCACUUCAAAGAAUUCUGAGAAAUCCCUUUAUAUCUACGUGAGAUUGUUGCCCUGAGAUUCUUCACAUCGCUCCGGAAUCUGCCAAGAUCUCUUAACAAGGUUCCCUCAGAGGCCACAGGCACGGGGAGUAUUUCUGAGAUUUCUGGAUAAACUGGCAUUCCUGCCCAACUCUUCAAGGAGACCACACCACAGCUCAUUUGCAGAGUGGAGGAGAGCAACAGAUGGUGCCUUGCGCUCAUGGAGGUAGAAGCACCCGCUGUGCAGAAUUCUGAGGCCUGGCGCCAGACGACUGGCGAGGACAUCAGUCCAGUGCAGCCACUUGUCGAUCUGUGACACUGUCCAAGGGAGUUAAUCUCACACACCUUUAAGGAAAACAGUUUAUCACGUUCUUUCCUAUUUGAGGAAAUGAAGCAGAGCAGUGGAGUGCGUAUCCUUGAUCAAACUGGAAGUGAUUCUGGACCCCAUUUACUAUUGAUCCUGUAGGGAAGUUCUCCAAGGAAAGAGACCCACAGGGACGUAUGUAUUAUGCGUGUGUGUGUGUGUGUGAGUGUGUGUGUGAGUGUGUGAGAAUGUGUGUGAGUGUGUGUAUGUGUGUGUGAAUGUGUGUGUGUGAGUGUGUGUGUGUGUGUGAAUGUGUGUGUGAGUGUGUGUGUGAAUGUGUGUGUGAGUGUGUGUGUAUGUGUGUGUGAAUGUGUGUGUGAGUGUGUGUGUAUGUGUGUGUG